Long non-coding RNA from Dendrobium catenatum, 2334 nucleotides. RefSeq lists it as uncharacterized. NCBI's taxonomy places the organism in Eukaryota, Viridiplantae, Streptophyta, Magnoliopsida, Asparagales, Orchidaceae. The transcript is spliced from 11 exons. The record is from RefSeq and is a predicted model, not a curated record.
GGUUAGAACCAGUUCAGACUCCCACGAUCUCCCUCUCCUGUUUUAGCGAACUGCCCUUGCUUUCUAUUCGAAAAAAACGAACCGCUCCUCCCCUCCCACUACGCCUGCUCUCUGCUCGCAAGAAGCCCCUCCUCUUGGUCAUCUCUCGGUUUUGCGAAGAACUCCAAGGGCCGAACCCCAUCUCCUCCUCCCAGCCGUUGGCGAGCCUUAAGUCCGACCCUCUCUGCGGUUCGCGAGCCCAAGCCGACGACUCCAACCGAUUAUUGCCCUAGGUUGCCUCUUUUGCCCAAGUCGACGCCAGCAAUCUUCUCAAUCUUGGCUUCGCGUCUACUAGCAAUCUCUAUCUUGGGCUUCGCAUGAGGAAGAUUUUGAAAAAAAAAGUCUUAUACACCUUCUUCUAUGAUGUUAUUCCUGUCGGAUCGGGAGUCAAGAUAGGAGAUCGCUGGUUUCCUUGAGGUCUUGGCAGUUAUUCCUUUUAGAUUUGGAGUCACAACGGGCACCCGAGUCAUCGCUUCAUGAAUAAGCAUUUCUACAACGUUCCUAUCAGAUCGAGAUUUGGGACGGGAGAUAAUGCAUUGCAUUCUCCUGUUCUAGCUCUGUGCAACCUUCGUGUUCUCCAACAACUUUCCGGCGAUAGUCUGAGAGGUCGUCUAAGGUUCUUAUUGUUUUGAUAAAUGAAAUCAGUCUAUUACCGAGCAAUGCUUUGGAGGACAACAGAGGAAAUAAGUCAACCUUUGGGAGCUUAGAAGUCUUCAAUUGCAGGGGGCUGAUGGUCUUCGAUUUAUGUUGACGUCAUCUGCGAGCAAAGAUAGGAAAGAGAGCAGAUGUUCGACAGUAGAUUGGAGGAAGAAGAUUUGCACCUAUGUUGGGGAGUUCAAAAUAAUAUAUGAGAAGUGUUUGGGAAGCUUGGCCCAAGUUUAUACGAUUUUCUUCAGAAAUAUAGUUACCGGCCUUUCCACUUGAUCUUGUUUGUAAGAUUGGCAAGCAACAAUUUGAAUUUGUAGCAUUGUGCUCCUGCAUAAACUUUGCAGACUUUCCUUUCUCAUUGAGGGUUUUCAAAAUUUGGAUGGAUGCUGAAUAAGGAGAAGAUGAAGGCUAUGGUAUGCUUAUUUUAUAAAUUUGUUGCUUUUCUCUCAUUGUUUUGUUUUCCAAGAUAAAAUGCAUUCGAAAUUUUUUGUUCGUAGUUUUUUUUGUGUGUGAUACAAGAAAUUCCUAAGGAAAGUUAACAUAAUUUUUUUUUUGCAGUUUCAUCUAUUUUCCCAUCUAAUGAAAAAAAUUUUAUUCCUAUUUCUUGAAAUUUGGAUUUUUAGAUUGCCCUUUCUUGAAUUUUCUCUCAUUUUGCAUAACGAUCAGGUGAAAAAAUCACCCCGUUCUUGUCAUGUUGAUGGAAGCUGACAAUGCAUAAUUUUUUUCCUUCUUUUUGUCGUUAAACUUAUUACCACCACAUUUAUGGAUUUAUCUGAAGUUUAAUCAUUUUCCUUAGGUAAUUUGUCAUUCUCUGUGUUUGAGCACUUCUAACCAAGUUAUACAUUUAGACUUCAUUUGGGACGGUUUUUUUACUGCUUCUUAAAAUAAAUUUUUUUGUGGAAAAUUAAAUUUAAAUGUAAGAGAAUAUGUAACAUCUAAAAUGAACGAUAAAGAUAUAAAUAUGUGUCUUUAACUUCAGGUACAAAUUUAAAUUUUCUUCAAUAACUGCAAGGUACACGAAGAGUUCAUAACCAAGAAUUUUGUAGCGGCCUAAUUUUCUGAUUGGCUGAAUUUUUCAAAAAUGGUGGCUUAUCCUUUCAUCUUCUUGUCAUCAUUUUAUGGAGUAACUGCUUGAUUAGCCUGCAAGUCCUCCAAACAAAUGACAAACCUUAACGGAAUGAAAGUCAAAGCUUAUCGGGAUGAAUCAUCACCAUAUGCAGCUAUGCUUGCAGCACAGGUUUUUGUCAACUUAUCCUCAACCAAAGCAGCAGUCUGAAAUUAUUCCUGGAUAGCAUGCAUUCAUCGUCGCAAUUGCUCUCGAUAGGUUUUAACAACUCUAUGGAGGGAUAUAAUACAAACAUCACAGAGGAUAUGACCCCAAUUCUCACUCAUAACACCCGUAGAAAGGUCGGUAGAAAGGGGAGGAUAUUAUAAUAUAUGCAUUCGUCUGUCAAACCUUCUUCUACUUUAACAAAAAUUCUUUGAAGAGGGAGGAUAUGAUAAUCUAAUAGUAAGAAUUUUGUAGGUUAUAGUUUGUCGUUGUUUCGUUGAUUUGAGAUAUUUUUUGUUGUAUUUAGGACACCAGAAGUCUUUAAGAUUUUUAUUUUUAUUUUAAAUAAGAAUAUUUGAAGAUCAAAUUUUUGCAUA